Molecule: long non-coding RNA, 1672 nt
Filed under: Musa acuminata (dwarf banana)
Lineage: Eukaryota; Viridiplantae; Streptophyta; Magnoliopsida; Zingiberales; Musaceae
Description: long non-coding RNA (MACU_LNC008795)
Source: RNAcentral
AUUAAGUAGCCUUUAGACACAAGCACAAUCCACUCGACUUCUAUCUACGACAGUGAAGGGUGAGGUGAGGCUAGGGUUAGGAAAGACAUUUGUACUCAUGUUCGUAUGCCUCUAAAUCUGCUCCUCUAAAAAGGGGUGCCUCCGCCUCUAUUCAAUAAGCCGUUAAUGCAACAGUCACAGAUGCUGACACAGAUUCUUGCGCCGAGAUCAUCUACUGGAGAAGGAUCAGAAAGUGGGGAGUUCGGUUCUUCAAGUAGAGUUCCCGCGGAUUAAGGAGAAGAAUAAGUCCUAGUUAGUGAGUUUGAGUCUUGCAUAUAAAACAGGUAAUAAGAGAUGGAGAGAUGGAUUCCAUUCUGCUCUUUGAAACUGGGAUAGCGGUAUCGGUGCCUGAGAAGUUCACACAGAUUAGAUUGCCCCUGACCCCCGACCCAACAACAUAAUAUCAUGCGCACACUGAAAUAGAGUAUCUUCAAACAAGGGUUAGCUCCGUUAGAGCCCCAAGAGGAUCAAGAUCAGAAUAAGGAUCAAGGUAAGGGUCAAUUCCUGGAGAAGGUGAGGAAGCGGGAAGCUAUUCGAUUCUUGUUUCAUCGAGAAGAAGCUAUUUUCGAAACUAUGUCGGUGUUGGGGUCAGGAACUGUAGCUAUGUCUAGUAGAUUGGGGUCAGGAACUGUAGCUAUGUCUAGUAGAUCUUGGUGUUGCGGUGAAUAAGAGGCUCAAGCAGAAGCAAGGGAAUCCGCAAGUGAAAGAAACAGGAGCUACAGCCUUAGUUCUGGGUUAAAGCCUUGUUGGUUGUAGUGGAAUUCCUGGUGGAAAGGUUCAUCCGAUUGGUUCAGCUGUUCGAGCCUUGUUGUCAGUAGUGAAAACCUGAGACUAAUGAGUUGAAGCCUGGGUGUCGUGUUUCAGUAUAAGUAUAAUAAUAGCAUGACUUUGAUUCCCAGUUGAUAGCCCUAUUCUUAUAGUUCUUAGUUGAAGAGUUAAAGCAGUAAAGGCAGCUUUAAGUGAGGUAGUUCAGGUCUGUUUGCUAGUAGUUCCAUGCUUGCUAGUAGUAGCUGGGUUGUCCAUAGUGGUAUUUGAUAGUCAGGAAAGGAAUACUCCAAUAUAUAAUAUAGGUUUCAAGCUAAGAGGUGUAUAGGCGGAUAUCUAGUAAAAGCAUACUCCGUAUGGUAAUCGAGGGACAACUACAAGAAUGAGUGGUUGAAUGGGAGCUCGUUGACGGAGUUCAGGAUAUAGGUUUUCUACGGCAAAUCAGAAUUCCAUAAUUAGUAGUUAACCCAUGUGUGUAGACCUUCUAAUAAGAGUCCAAAUAAUAAGUAAGAAAACAACUGGGAAGUAUGGUUUUCACACUGCCUUUACUGGCUAAAGCUUCUACUUCAUUGUAGCAGGCUUCACUGCGAAACAAAGGAUUGAACUCAGCAGUAGCAGAAUCCAACAAGUAAGUCCACUGACCUAAACACAUAAGUGAGCCUGAAACUCCUUACUGGCCCCCAAACCCGGACCUCUACCUUUCUUUCUUCGUUUAUUGGUUUAGUAUGCCCCUCGGCGUAUUGCUUGUUAGUUUUAGCCUCCCUCGGUUAGGGUACCUCGCUAUGAUAGGACUUAAUAUGGUGUGUCAGUGUAUCAGAACUAAACAAAUAAGUACAGGAAAGAAUGGGAUUAGUAUUUACUUGGCUGA